Molecule: long non-coding RNA, 491 nt
Filed under: Homo sapiens (human)
Lineage: Eukaryota; Metazoa; Chordata; Mammalia; Primates; Hominidae
Description: HSALNT0098956
Source: RNAcentral
GCUAGGGGCACCUGCAGGAGACGCAGCAGAUAUAGGCAUCUUUAUCAGGUCACAAGCACCGGCUCCCCGCCCAUGAGAGAGGAAGGCCUGAGACACAGCAUGGAGCUGGAAGUCCUUGUGCUUCACCACCGACUCCUGCUGGGGGCCAGCUUGAGCCUCUGAAAGGGCCCCCUCUCUUCCCUGGGGCCCUGCAACCCUCAGUCAGAUGUCAUGCCUUUGUAUCAGAGAUGCUUAGUGCCUGGCUAGAGCCUAACUUAACAGUCAGGAAGUAGGAUGGAAGUCCAAAUUAGAGCAGAUUGCCCAUGGAAUGGAGCUGAUACAACUCUUUAAAGGAGAAUAUGUUAAAAUGUGGCAAAAACUUUUAAAGGGUACAUCAUUGGCCCAAGACUGUCACUUUUUACAACCUACCCGUUGGAAGUAAUCCUUAAAAAUUAAAACAAAAUGUUGAAGAAUUAUACCAAGAACAGCAGUCUCUUCAUUUCCUGUUGUUC